This 4879-nucleotide long non-coding RNA is filed under the name Gossypium raimondii (Peruvian cotton). RNAcentral describes it as "long non-coding RNA (GRAI_LNC002082)". Lineage: Eukaryota; Viridiplantae; Streptophyta; Magnoliopsida; Malvales; Malvaceae. The record is from RNAcentral.
CCGAAUAUCAUGUGGACUCUAUGGCUAGGGUUUGUUCAUUCUUUCAAGCUUCAUGGUAAGUCCGUUCUAGCCCCGUUUUUCUUGUUCUUUAUAUUUUUAGAAUCCCACUUGCUUAAGCUAUUUCUAUCAUUAAUUCGAGCUAGAAAUUAUGUUUGAAAAAUUACCCAUAGAUGAAAAGUGUGAAUUUUGAUGUUUCAUGAUAGAAUAUGAAGCUUAGAAUUAUGUUAAACGAUUUUCAGCAAAAACGAGUGAAACGGUAUAAUUGUUAAAAAUUAUUAUUGUUCAUAAGUGCACUUUAGAGAAAUAAUUUUAUGUUGCUAUAGAAGGAAAUAUUGUUCAGCAUGUCAUAAAGCAUAAGAAAAAUGAAUAAAAUUUAAUUUCCGAGCCUAGGGGCAAAAUCAUAAUUUUGUGAAAUUUUAGGGGCAAAAAUGUAAGUUUUCCAAAAUGUGAUUUUUGGACUGGAUUGAAUAAUGUGAGUGUAAAAUAAGUUAAAUGUGUUAUUAUAAGUCAAGAAAGACAAGGAAUUGACUUUGAUUAGUGAAAAAGAAAAAAAUGAGAAAAAGUGAGAAAUUCCCCAAUUGAAUAUUCGAAAUAAAAAGGGAUACGAAUGAAGUAACAGAAAUGAUCACAUGUGUGACAUGGACUGUGUGUAGGUCACUGUGUGAAAGUGAAAGUGAUGGUCACGUGUGUAGUACUAUGUGUAGGCUACUACGUGUACCGGAAUGAAAGGUUGCAUGUGUAGUACUAUGUGCAGGCUACUAUGCGCACCGGAAAGCUUCGAUCAUGUGUGUAGUACUAUGUGCAGGCUACUACGUAAACCAGAAAGUUUGAUCACAUGUGUAGUACUAUGUGAAGGCUACUACGUGUAUCGAAUGAUAAUAGUUAAAUGAGUGGUACUAUGUGCAAACCACCGAAUGCUCACUAUUAUACCGACAUGUUUAACGGGAUAUAAGAAAUUGCAAACCAAUAAGAAUAUGUGAUUGAAAUGCGAUGAGUUGCAAAAGAGUCACUGGAGUGAUGAAGUUUUGUACCGUGCUUACAAAAUAAAUUGUUAUAAUGUUACGUGAAUGAGUGAAUUUGAAACAGAACAGAUUUGGACAGUGACAGUGAUGUUAGUUUGAAAAAUCACCAAAAAUUAUAGAAAUUGAUAUAGUGGUUGAGUGAGAUAUGGAAUUAAAGCUUAAUGAGUCUAUUUUUACAUAAAAGAAACAAAGCAAGCAAAAGAGUUAUACAUUUUGAGAUAUUUGAAUUUUAGUGGGGUAGAGGUCGGAUUGAUUUCGGAAUCCCCUGUUCUAACUUUGGAAAAUAAUUAAAAAUUUUACAAAAAUAAUUAUGAGUUAUAAUUUAUAUUCUUAGAAUUCUUAAUGAGUCUAUUUUUAAAGGAAACAAAUGUAAAUAUCAUCCGAAAUCUCUACAAUGAGAUAAUUCAUUUUUAGUGAAGAGAGGUCUGAGAUGUUGAGUAGUGAAACAGUGGAAUAUUUAAAGAAUAAACUGUACUAAUUGGCCAAGUAAAAAAUUCUUAAAAUUUUAUGGUAAUAAGACAUGCGAGUCUAGUUUUGGGAAAAAUUAACGGAACUUAAUUUUGAGCUCUGUAGCUUCGGAUAAAAAUGAUUUAGUGACUCUGACUCAAAUAGACAGCUUUGAAUUUAAAUAUAAGUGAAUAGUGAAAUUAUGUAUAAUGCUAAUUAAGCAUGUUUUAUACAUAAAGGAUGUGGAAUGCAGAGGAGGAGGAGGAUAAUAAAAUGUAUGAAUGAAUUGUGUAUAAAUGGUCAUAUGCCCGAUUAUAAUCGGUAAAUGUUAAAUUGAAUGGUAAAUAUGUAUUGAUACUGAAGGACUAUUGUGGUAUUGAAAAGCAAUUGAUCAAAUGUUUCAGAAAUUUAGUCAUGAUAUUUAUAUGUGUGAAAAUAAUGAUAUAUGGAUGAUUAUAUCAUUGAGGUUGCAUUGAUUAAUUUGGUUUAUGUGAUAGAAAUGUCAAGAACAUUGUCUUUGAUAUGUGAUGAUCAUGUAAUGCCAUGAAAAUUUGUUAUUGUGUGGUUUAAAAUGUAUCUAUAUUUUUUAUAUACUUAUUUUGUAACUAUUUGACAAAUGAUAAAAAUUAUUCGGGUUCUAUGUGAGGUGAAUUAUGAUUUGUGAAGCAUAUCUAUAUUCAGCAAUAAUGGAUAAAAUACAUUUAUGUCAUGGGUGAAUGGUUAAACACUUGGGUUAGUAUAAAGUGUAUAUUUAGUAAGGUUUGUUGGAAAAGAAAUAACAGGUUUUGGUUUAUAUCGAAUAGAGAAAAUUUGUACUAUCUUUGUGGCUAAUUUUGUUAGCUUUGUGGGAGAUGAAUGGAUAAUGUAUAUAUAUGUGACAAUUAGCUUACUAAAUAGUGAGUAAUUGAUAUAUUACAUUAGUUAAAAAGGAAAUUUUGACGAUAUGAGAAUAUGUAAUGAUACGGAUAAAUUUAGGUACUCAGGACGAAUUCAACAAGUAAGUGAAAUUUUAUAAAUUCAUAUAACGAGAAAGUGAAAGAUUGUGAGUAUAUUUAGCCAAGAAAACCCUAAUUAACGACUCGAGAAUAACAACUUGAAAGUUUUAAUUUAGAUGAAAUUUUACAACUUGGUUUACUACGGUUAAAAGUGUAUAUGUUCUGGUAAUACCUCGUACCCUAUUCCGGCAUCGAAUACGGGUAAGGGGUUUUACAUUAAUUUAAUUUGAUAACUCAUAUUGAUUAAUUGAAUUUGUUAGAUUUAUUAACUUCAUAAUUAAUCAUGUGAAGAAUGUAAAAUAAAAUAUGCAUAAAAAUAAUAAUGUAUGCACCUAUUAUACAUAUUUUAAUUUUGUUGAUUUGAUUCUCACUUUUCUUUUUUUUAAACAUAAUUUCUGUAAUGUUCCAAAAACCUUAGUCUCUGUUUUGUUAAUUUUGUCAUAAAUUAAUGUAUGUUUCAAGGGUUAAGGGCUUUGUUGGGUUGUUGGAGGUAUUGGGUUUUAGCUCUUGUGUGUGCAAUUAGGAGUUAAUUUUUGUUAGUGUUUUGCUUGGGCCGCAUAACAGGUUGUUGGAGUUAAGUUGGGAUAGUUAAAAAUCUUGGAAGUUGUUGGAUAGGUAUGGCUUAGUGGGAUAGUGGAUGGAUAGGAAUUGACUUGUUAGUUUGUUUUAUUUAGUUAUUUAAAAAAAAUGAUAAUAGAAGAUAUUUCAUUCUCUCUAGUUUCACGUCACUUUAGUUUUUCCUAUUCUGUUCACAAAAUCUUUUUUUUUUAUUCCUUUUCUUUCUUUUCACGUAGGUUUGGAAAAGGGGGUAACAAAUCGUUCUUUUGGUUUCUUGAUUUUUAAUGUCAAAGCCUCUUUAUUUUACUAUUCAAAGAUCGGUAGUGGUGCUAAUCGAGUAGGUUUCAACGAGACUCGUGUGUAAGUUUUGACUUUCUCUUUUCUCAUUGCGGAUUUAUCCGUAGUUAGUUUGCAAUUGUGUUGAGGGUAGUUGGUGGGAUGUAUCAAUAUUAAUUGAUUAUUUUGUUUGUAGGUGACGAACAUGAGAAUCGAAAAUCCCCUCUUUUGAUUUAAUUGUUUUAGGGGCUGCUGUGAACGUGGGUAAGUAUUCGAACAUUUAUAUGUUUAAUUUUAGUCGGAAUUGCUCAUGUUUGUGUUUUAUUCAAGUGAGUGGCUUGCUAAAAAUUGAGGCAUUAAGGAUUGAUUUUGGGUGAUUUAUUGUCUAUUUUAGGUACUAUUUUCUUCAUGAAUAUGGUGGUAUCGAAAUCGAAUCAGGUGUGUAUCGAAAAAUAUGAAAAAUAGUGAUCGGCGAAAGUCGAAAAAGUUCACUGUCGACGCCACACGACCGUGUGCCAGACUGUAUGACAGACCAUUUGCAAGACCAUGUGUGACAUACGGGCUAGGCUAUUUGGGCCGUGUAGGCCCAAAAUUCUAAAAUAUUCCCUAGGGCCGUGUUUUAUACUCAUAUGGUGUGUUGAGAUGGUCGAAGAUGGUAUGUAGCGGUUGGGGGUAGGAUUAUAUGUUGUAUCUGUUAUGUUUAUUAUAAAUAUGUUUCUAAUAAAUCUGUCUAAUAUGCAUCUAACUGCUUUAAGUUAUUCGAUAUACAUUGAGUUUAAAAAACUCAUUCUCUGUUUGUCUGUCACUUUCAGGUAAUUCACAGACUUAGGUCGGGCGGUGUGACGGGAGCUUGGUUAUAUUAGUAUUUCAUUUUUUUCAACUAUUUAAAGUUGGAUUUUAGCUUUUUGUAAAAUUUGGAUUGUUUUGGACAUUUUGGGAUUGUCUUAGUUUUGGAUUUUAUUUUCGAUUUUCGUAUGAUACUCGUAAAAUGAUUACGAAAAUGAUUGUUUUCCUGCAAACAAUCGGUUUCGAGAAAACAAACUUUGUUUUCCAAAAUAUAAUGACCUAAGAAUUUUCGUUGUAAAGUUUUCGUUUUAUUUUGAAGAUGUAAAUAAACAACAUUUUCAAUUAAAUAGUUAUAUCAAAUACUUUUUUUUAAUAAAACAGGUUUUUAGGUAACAAAAGUUUACUAUGUUUUUCAAAAUAUACGGGAACCGGAUUUACUACUGUUUUACGUAGCAUCUCCAGAUUUAGUCAUAACGUUCAUACCGGGUUUGGGGUGUUACAAUUUUUCAUUUUCUUUAUUUUACGAAAAUUUACUAUAUAAAUUUUAUGGUGGGCUUACAAUAAUUCUCUCUAUAACAGUAUAUUGUUAUAGGUGUAUAAUAAUCGCCUUUCUAUAGCAGGCAAAAUCUUGGCAAACAAAUGAGAUUGUUAUAGAGAGAGUUGAUUGUGCUAUAAUUUCUAAUAUAAUUUGGUCAUUAUAUUUUUAUAAUGAUACUAGUUAGGCCAAAUAGUUAAUAUAGUUAAUUUUUCGAUUAAAAUGUUACCUAUUUGUAUAUAAUUUAUGCCCUAUGGGUC